RNAcentral lists this ribosomal RNA (1039 nucleotides) under uncultured organism. RNAcentral's name for it is "bacterial SSU rRNA". It matches the Rfam family "Bacterial small subunit ribosomal RNA", at positions 105 to 1175 of the family's 1533-position model. The record is from RNAcentral.
GGUGCGUAACACGUAGCUGACCUGCCCUUCGCAGGGGGAUAACACAGCGAAAGUUGUGCUAAUACCGCGUAGGCUGGUGGGGCUUAGAAGCCCAUCAGUAAAGCGAAUGCGGCGAAGGAGGGGGCUGCGGUCCAUCAGCUCGCUGGUGAGGUAACGGCUCACCAGGGCGACGACGGAUAGGGGGCCUGAGAGGGUGACCCCCCACACUGGAACUGAGACACGGUCCAGACUCCUACGGGAGGCAGCAGUAAGGAAUAUUGCACAAUGGGCGCAAGCCUGAUGCAGCAACGCCGCGUGAGGGAUGAAGGGUUUCGGCUCGUAAACCUCUUUUCUGUGUGAAGAGCAAGGACGGUAGCACAGGAAUAAGUCUCGGCUAACUACGUGCCAGCAGCCGCGGUAAAACGUAGGAGGCGAGCGUUAUCCGGAAUUACUGGGCGUAAAGCGCACGUAGGCGGCGCUGCAAGUGGUGCGUGAAAGCUCCCGGCUCAACUGGGAGAGGCCGUACCAAACUGCGGUGCUAGAGACAGAUAGAGGUCGACAGAAUUCCGGGUGGAGUGGUGAAAUGCGUAGAGAUCCGGAGGAAUACCAGAGGCGAAGGCGGUCGGCUGGGUCUGUUCUGACGCUGAGGUGCGAAAGUGUGGGGAGCGAACGGGAUUAGAAACCCCGGUAGUCCACACCGUAAACGAUGCAUACUAGUUGUUAGGUGCCUACGGGCGCUGAGUGACGAAGCCAACGCGUUAAGUAUGCCGCCUGGGGAGUACGGUCGCAAGGCUAAAACUCAAAGGAAUUGACGGGGGCCCGCACAAGCAGCGGAGCGUGUGGUUUAAUUCGAGGCUACGCGAAGAACCUUACCUGGGCUUGACAUGAUAGUAGUACCCUGGUGGAAACAUCGGGGGACCUUCGGGAGCUAUCACAGGUGCUGCAUGGCUGUCGUCAGCUCGUGCCGUGAGGUGUUCGGUUAAGUGUGAAAACGAGAGCAACUCCGGGCGUUAGUUACAAGUGUCUAACGAGACUGCCCGGGGAAACUGGGAGGAAGGUG